CGGCCUAACACAUGCAAGUCGAGCGGAAACGAGUUAACUGAACCUUCGGGGAACGUUAACGGCGUCGAGCGGCGGACGGGUGAGUAAUGCCUGGGAAAUUGCCCUGAUGUGGGGGAUAACCAUUGGAAACGAUGGCUAAUACCGCAUAAUAGCCCGGUUCUUCGGAAUGGGUCUCAAAGAGGGGGACCUUUUAGGCCUCUCGCGUCAGGAUAUGCCCAGGUGGGAUUAGCUAGUUGGUGAGGUAAUGGCUCACCAAGGCGACGAUCCCUAGCUGGUCUGAGAGGAUGAUCAGCCACACUGGAACUGAGACACGGUCCAGACUCCUACGGGAGGCAGCAGUGGGGAAUAUUGCACAAUGGGCGCAAGCCUGAUGCAGCCAUGCCGCGUGUAUGAAGAAGGCCUUCGGGUUGUAAAGUACUUUCAGCAGUGAGGAAGGUGGGUAUGUUAAUAGCAUACACAUUUGACGUUAGCUGCAGAAGAAGCACCGGCUAACUCCGUGCCAGCAGCCGCGGUAAUACGGAGGGUGCGAGCGUUAAUCGGAAUUACUGGGCGUAAAGCGCAUGCAGGUGGUUUGUUAAGUCAGAUGUGAAAGCCCGGGGCUCAACCUCGGAAUUGCAUUUGAAACUGGCAAACUAGAGUACUGUAGAGGGGGGUAGAAUUUCAGGUGUAGCGGUGAAAUGCGUAGAGAUCUGAAGGAAUACCGGGUGGCGAAGGCGGCCCCCCUGGACAGAUACUGACACUCAGAUGCGAAAUCGUGGGGGAGCAAACAGGAUUUAGAUACCCUGGGUAGUCCCACCCCGUAAACGAUGUCUACUUNNGGUUGUGGCCUUGACCCGUGGGCUUUCGNAGCUUACCGCGUUAAGUAACCGCCCUGGGGAGUACGGUCGCAAGAAUUANAACUCAAUGAAUUGACUGGGGCCCGUCNCAACCGUUGNAGCAU
This 940-nucleotide ribosomal RNA is filed under the name uncultured bacterium. RNAcentral's name for it is "bacterial SSU rRNA". It matches the Rfam family "Bacterial small subunit ribosomal RNA", at positions 44 to 940 of the family's 1533-position model. The record is from RNAcentral.